AUCCUCUCAUGGUUCAUGAGCAUGAUGAUUGGGGUUUCAUGCCAAUGUGUGAUGUGUGCCGCCCAUUAAACCUUGUUACGAAGUGGGCACAUUACCCAUCUGACA
Small nucleolar RNA from Arvicola amphibius (Eurasian water vole), 105 nucleotides. RefSeq annotates it as small nucleolar RNA U13. The record is from RefSeq and is a predicted model, not a curated record. Lineage: Eukaryota; Metazoa; Chordata; Mammalia; Rodentia; Cricetidae. The transcript has a single exon.